This 92-nucleotide transfer RNA is filed under the name Micavibrio sp. RNAcentral describes it as "tRNA-Ser". It matches the Rfam family "tRNA". From Rfam's summary of the family: Transfer RNA (tRNA) molecules are approximately 80 nucleotides in length. Their secondary structure includes four short double-helical elements and three loops (D, anti-codon, and T loops). Lineage: Bacteria; Pseudomonadati; Bdellovibrionota; Bdellovibrionia; Bdellovibrionales; Pseudobdellovibrionaceae. The record is from RNAcentral.
GGUGUCGUGGCCGAGUGGCUGAAGGCAACGGUUUGCUAAAUCGUCAUACGUGGAAACGCGUAUCGUGGGUUCGAAUCCCACCGACACCGCCA